AUGAUGAACCCGGAGAUGAUGCGGGUGGCGGAGGAGCAGAUGCGACGCAUACCCGCCGGCGACCUCGCCAGGAUGCAGCGGCAGCUCAUGUCCAACCCGGACCUGCUGAAGCUCGCAACCGAGAGAAUGAAGAACAUGACAGCCGAGGACUUCAAGCUCGCCGCCGAGCGCCUGAACCACGCGAGGCCAGAGGAGAUGCUCGACAUGACCGAGAAAAUCGCCAAGGCCAAGCCCGAGGAGCUCGCCGCCAUGAAGGCGCAAGCCGACGAUCAUGCCUCGUACGCGAUGUCCGCCGCCAAGAUGCUGAAGCGGCAGGGGAACCAGCUCCAUGGCCGCGGGCAGUACGCCGACGCCGCCGCCAAGUACAAGCUCGCCAGGGAUAGCGUGAAGAACAGCGUGCCGUCGGCGGCCGGGCGCGCUCUGCAGCUGCAGUGCAGCGUCAAUCUGAUGGCCUGUUACCUGAAGCUAGGCGAGUUCGAGGAGUGCGUCAACGAAGGCUCGGAGGUUCUAAGCUAUGACUCGGGCACUGCCAAGGCGUACUAUCGAAGGGGUCAGGCGUACAAAGAGCUGGGAAACCUCCAGGCUGCCGUUGCUGACUUGAGUAAAGCCCGUGAGAUUUCUCCGGACGAUGAAACUGUCGCUCAAGCUCUGACAGAGGUGCAAGAAAAACUUUCAACCGAAGGCGGAGCGGCAGCAAACCAGCCGAAGGAAGUUGUUAUUGAAGAAGUUGUAGAAGAAGAUGUUAGUUCUGAUCUGUCAAGCGCACAAAAGAAUUCUUCUUCUUCUACUGCUACACAACCACAGGACGGAGCACAAAACUCGACACAACCUGAUUCUUCAGAAAGCUUGGUAAAUAUGUCUCGGGCUGCCUCUUCAUCAAGCAGAACAAUCCCUGUUGCUCCAGAUUUUGGAUCCAAUAUGCCAGCAAUUUCACCUGACAUGGUUAGUAUGGCAAACCCUGCUAUGUGGGAGAUGUUUACCUCCAUGGUGGAGAACAUGAGUCCUGAUGAGAUGGCAAACAUGAGUGAGCUGUUCGGUAUCAAGAUGUCCAAGGAGGAUGCUGCCAACGCUCAACAGGCUAUGUUUUCAUUCUCUCCACAAGAUUUAGAGAAAAUGAUGAAAUGGAUCGGCAGAGCGCAGCGAGGAGUCGAAGCAGCAAAGAAGACGAAGGACUGGCUCUUGGGCAGGAAAGGCUUCAUCUUUGCUAUUGUCAUGCUGAUCUUGGCGUUCAUCCUCCAUCGGCUUGGAUUCAUCGGGUAG
RNAcentral lists this ribosomal RNA (1260 nucleotides) under Triticum aestivum (bread wheat). RNAcentral describes it as "partial small subunit ribosomal RNA". Lineage: Eukaryota; Viridiplantae; Streptophyta; Magnoliopsida; Poales; Poaceae. The record is from RNAcentral.